AAAACUUUCAACAACGGAUCUCUUGGUUCUGGCAUCGAUGAAGAACGCAGCGAAAUGCGAUAAGUAAUGUGAAUUGCAGAAUUCAGUGAAUCAUCGAAUCUUUGAACGCACAUUGCGCCCCUUGGUAUUCCGAGGGGCAUGCCU
Molecule: ribosomal RNA, 144 nt
Filed under: Cercospora malayensis
Lineage: Eukaryota; Fungi; Ascomycota; Dothideomycetes; Mycosphaerellales; Mycosphaerellaceae
Description: 5.8S ribosomal RNA
Rfam family: 5.8S ribosomal RNA
About the family: 5.8S ribosomal RNA (5.8S rRNA) is a component of the large subunit of the eukaryotic ribosome.
Source: RNAcentral